AACAAACACUUUUCUGAAAACCACAUCAAAAUCGGUUCAGCUAAACGCGAGAUAAUCGCGGACAAAUACACCGUGUAACAUGAGGAAACCGAAAUAUUUUAAACCGAAUAAUUUUAACUGCGUAUUCCUGAUCAUAUUUAGAGACAAAAAUGUCCUAUAAACUUUUUUGAAAUUCGCCUAGUUUCAGAGAUAAUAUUAAUUAAAAAAAAACAAGUUUUUAUUGUUACACAGUGUAAAAGACCUUUUUGAUGGUGAUGUUGCUGCUAUGGGACGUAGUCUAAAAUAUCCUUCUUGAUAGAUAUCAAAAAGUGACAAGUAACGCUUUGCAAAAAGUAGGUUUUACGAAAAAAAAAUGUAAAAAUCAAUUUUAAGUGAAAAGUUUACCAAUCAACAUCAAAUAACAUUUAUUUUUAUGUACAUGUACAUUCAAGAAAUUGAAAAAACAAAACAACAACAAAAAUUUUUUUUUUGGUGAAGUAUACCUAAACUCAUCUUACAUUUUUUCUUUCUUUUGACCUCAGAAAUGCGUGGUUAAAGCUAUUCGGUUUCCUCAUAUUACACCGUGUAUACUUACAAACAUUCCGUGUAGUUUUGGACAUAUUAUAAAAGUUAUUCAACGAUUAAUGCAGGUGGCUGGUAAUAGGGCACUUUACCCUAUGAUAAUAAAUCUUCCUCGCGCUAUCCCAGCUUUUUGCCACAGCUCAUGGGAGCCUGGGAACUGCUUGGCAACUAAUCCCGGGAAUUGGCGUAGGCACUAGUUUUUACAGAAGCGACUGCCAUCUGACCUUCUAACCCAGAGGGGAAACUAGGAAACUUGUUGGAAUUAGUCCGGUUUCCUCACCAUGUUUUCCUCUUCACCGAAAAGCGAUUGGUAAAUAUCAAAUGAUACCUAUUUCGUACAUAAAUUCUUUUCAACUUUACCGUAUGAUAAGCUCCAAAAAGAAAUUAGAAAACUAAGGGAUUCAGAUAGGUCAUUCAUUGGCUCCAGGGAACCCCUUAAUGUGAAUUACAGCAUCAAAGUUGGAAGCAACAAAACUUACGAUGUUAUUUAUAUGUACCAAUGUCAGCAAUUAUUGGUAAAAUUGUGUACCUAAUUAUUAAUUUCGAAAAAUAAACUAUAAAUCUUCAAAUAUGAAUUCAUAUCCGUUAGCACUCGCGGAUUGGACGAAUUUUGUGCGGCACUAGCACACACCCAAUCACGGAUCAAUAUUAUAACGCGCGCCAAUGGCGCGCGAGCUACAUGGAUCACGCGAUCGCUAGUCAGGCGCACCCCCCCCGUAGCUGCGCUGUGCGCUGCGCAGUUCAUGAGUUCACAUCAAAAUGGCGCUCGCUCACUCGCUGUGCGUAGAACGUAGUACUUGUGUAAACGUGUAAAUAAAUUGGAGAUAGCAUACAAGAAAACAGAAAGGGUUCGCGGUUCACCUUUUUUGUAACGGUUUCCUCGGCGUCCUUUACAAAGUCCAGUUGAUAUCGUGUCCUGUCCACGUCCAGGGUGGAUCAGACCUGAUCUACAAAAUCUUGGAGCAGCCGCUUUCGUCGUAUGCCAUUAAAAAAAUUAAAACAUGCCCGUUAUUAAAAUUUGGUCAGUAGACCAAACAAUCAAGAAAGCUGUUCCAAUAAUGGACCCAACUUUAAAAAAUAUCAUUGAAAAAGGUGAGUAAAUCUAAAUUAAUUUGACUUUUCGUAAUGAAAUAUUUUUUGUGUAAUUGUAGAAUGUAGUGUAUUGUAGAAUAGACUAUAAUUGGAUACCUACUGUUAAGCAUUAAUGUGCUGACUCAAACCACAUUUAUUUUGCAGUAUGAUAUCAAUUUAAAAAUUUGACGCUUGAAGUUGACAAGAUAGAGCUGAUGCUGAACCCUGGCUGUACCUAGUGGAACUCAGGUUUGGUGCAACAUAGGCCCACGCUAUUUUGAUCAUCCGUCACAUAGAGGGAGAGCAAUACCCAAGAUAUAAUUCAUAAUCCAUUUUCUUCCAGAUGAGGUACCAUCCUAAAUAUAGUAGUUCCAUUUACUAAUCUUAUUAACUUUUUCUUUUCCAGGAACCAUUAACCAGGGUUCAAGUUGCAGAGCUAUCCGAAAUAGCUGCGCCUAACAUUGUAUUUUUAGAUAAUGAAAAUAUAAUUAUAUUACUUGCUGGUAGAAAAAACGAUUGUUAGCGAAACAGAUUCUGCCUACGUCGUUACAACUAUUGAUGGCGGCUUACUGCAACUUGAAUAUGGAAUAUCCAGUGGACUGUCAAAACACAUUAGAAUUUAUACAAAGGUAUAUUUUUAUUAAAAUAAAUCCUAAAGAAGGAAGUCAUAAGUAAUAGUUUUUGAUAUUUAAAAAGCGUUUUUCAAUUAAAAGACAUGUCAAGAUCGCUUAACUUCUUGCAAGUUCUUUCUAAUGCUAAAAAAACUAACUAUAAUUAAUGUCAGUAACAAACAUUUUCAGACAAUUCGUUACUUGAAAUGGUAUAGGUUUCACGCAUUAGAUUCACAUAGGCCUUAUUAACCGAAACUUUUAUAAGACUAAUUCAUAAGAAGUACUUAUGUACAUAAGAUAUAAUUUAUAGUGUCGUAUAUGUCUUCUACUUUUUGUACUCUGUCACAGAAUAAAUAAUAAUAAUAUGCACGUAGACGUGUAUAUACGCGUGUGCUCUAUAAUUUGAGUGUGUGAAAUUCAAUAAAUUUAUUUCUUUGUAA
Long non-coding RNA from Cydia fagiglandana, 2683 nucleotides. RefSeq lists it as uncharacterized. The record is from RefSeq and is a predicted model, not a curated record. Lineage: Eukaryota; Metazoa; Arthropoda; Insecta; Lepidoptera; Tortricidae. The transcript is spliced from 4 exons.